Molecule: ribosomal RNA, 440 nt
Filed under: uncultured bacterium
Lineage: Bacteria
Description: bacterial SSU rRNA
Rfam family: Bacterial small subunit ribosomal RNA
Source: RNAcentral
UGAGGAAUAUUGGUCAAUGGUCGGGAGACUGAACCAGCCAAGCCGCGUGAGGGAUGAAGGUGCUAAGCAUUGUAAACCUCUUUUGUCAGGGAACAAAGGCAUCCACGAGUGGAUGUGUGAGUGUACCUGAAGAAAAAGCAUCGGCUAACUCCGUGCCAGCAGCCGCGGUAAUACGGAGGAUGCGAGCGUUAUCCGGAUUUAUUGGGUUUAAAGGGUGCGUAGGCGGCCUGUUAAGUCAGCGGUAAAAGCCCGGGGCUCAACCCCGGCGAGCGUUGAAACUGGCUGGCUGGAGUUGGCGAGAGGUAUGCGGAAUGCGCGGUGUAGCGGUGAAAAUGCUUAGAUAUCGCGCAGAACUCCGAUUGCGAAGGCAGCAUGCCGGCGCCACACUGACGCUGAGGCACGAAAGGCGUGGGGAAUGCAAAGCAAGGCAUUGAGAUACC